This 2282-nucleotide unclassified non-coding RNA is filed under the name Hevea brasiliensis (rubber tree). Lineage: Eukaryota; Viridiplantae; Streptophyta; Magnoliopsida; Malpighiales; Euphorbiaceae. The record is from RNAcentral.
CACCAUAAAGCUGCUAAAGCUCCCACUGCUGCGCGACCAUUUCAUAUAUAAAUCUUAUAAACAUUGUAACAAAUUUUUAUUUUACAAUAAAAAAUAUGAAAAUAAAAGGAAUGAAUAAAUGAAUAGAAGAGAAUAAAUUAGGGAGAGAUUGUGGGGGGGGUAGGUUACACUAUCACUAAGAGAAACAAUCUAUGAAAACAACUAGAGCCUCAGCCAGCCAAUUUCAUGCGUUGCCUUGGUGUUCUCCUGCAAUAUUGCUAUGGCAUUUUGGCCAGCAUGCAGAAUCAGCCAUUUAUUAUUUGUAAAUUUAGAUUAAUAUAACAUGGCUUUUGAUUAUUUGUACAUUUAUCUGAGUUAAUGUCUCUGCCUUGUUCAUUUCAUAUUGUUCACAGCAAUUUUACCUUUGUUUUCUUUUUCAGAUAAUUUACGUCUUCUGAUAGAGAUAAGGAGAUCAUAUAAAAGACGUAAGAAUACAGCCCACCUUGCUCAGGUACUUGCUAUGAAUCUUCAAUGCCUCGUUACAAACCUUUUUAGCAUCCAUAUUUCCAGUCAUCUCGUCCAAUAUCUGGACAACAUCAUCAAGACCCUUAGCUUCCUUCAAAAUUCUGUUGUUCUUGGCCUCAAUAACACUUGCAGCAAGAAAAACAGCAAGUGCAAUUUGAUGCCCCGAAUUUUCUGUCUCCACAUUUUUUCUCUCAAAUUUGCCACACUGCUUUAGCAGCUCCUUAGUUGACAUAGUUGCACUACUCUUGUCUGUGGCAGCACUAGGCUCCUCAUAUAAGGAGAAGAUAUUUGGGUUGUACUCCAUGGCCCACAUCAGCUGAAACCAAUCUAUAUUACUGUCUUUAUAUAAGCUUGACUAAUAAAAUCUGCGAAGUACUACCACAUUUAAUUCAACUCAAAGCCUCCAUAUUUUUAAUUCUUUCCUCUAGAUCCCCAGCAAAAUAACAGGCCCUUAAUGAAUUUAUGAGAGAAUUUUACAUAAAUACACUAAUAAUUUCUUACCUCCCAAAGAUAUAAUGCAUCCACAAAAGUGAACUCUCUUCGAAAAAGUACCAUCAACAUGCGAAAUGCAAACAAAUAUUCACCACCAUCAAGCUCCUCAAGGUGUUGAUGAAGCUUUGGAUCAACAGUUUUAAUGACUUGCGAGAGUGUACUCAGCUGAGUUUGCACCCCUAUUGAACUUGCGCUGCACCUGAAGUUUUCUCUCAGUUUCUGCAUUGCACGAUCAAAACACCAAAAGGCAUCUGCUUCAUUUUCAAGAAGAAUUACCAUUGGAGAACAAAUAUCAUUCAUUCCUUGGACAUAACCAAUGUCAUUAUCCACCCAUGCAUAAAGUGCAAGAACAUCCCAAAGUUUUGCCUGGUUAGUCUCACUUUCAUAAAAGGCAAGUGUUUGAUCUGUGCGUACAACAUCUAAACCAAUUUGAUGCAAAACAAGCAUCCACUGAAUUGCUUUAUUGUCUGAAACAGCAUUAUUAACAAGCCCUCCUUCAGCAUUGUUUGUUGAAGAAUCAAUUAUUGGCUGGCCAUCAUCAGUAAUGAUAGGUGUUGUAAUAAACUUUCCACUACCAAUUACUGGAACCAAAUUUUUACAUUCAUCUUUCCAUAUGGUAUACUGCUCCCUCCUGCGCUGCCUAAUCUGAUUCCGGUCUUCAAAUGUGCUAUCAGGAUCAUAACAUCCUAACAAGAACUCCCAGACUAACCCUUUAAUUGCGGGAUGAAUACCCCCUCUUUGAAUUCGUCUAAGCACUUUUGCGAUAUCCAAAUGCCCAUCUUCAGAGAAUGCAGCAUGCCACCUUCUUGGACUUAAAGUUUUCCCAGCCCUCGGCCUGAAACGGGUCCUAGGAGCAUCUUCUUGAUACUCGGGUCUAAUUGGAUAGAAAGUCCCGAGUUCCUCCCCUCCUUCUGACUUCUUCAAAAGCAUUGAUGUAAAUACCUCACAACCAACCAUCCAAACUGAUUAUUCACUCACUGCCACAGCAAAGAAAAUCAAAACACAAAAGAAUUUCAUUAGUUAUGAUGGGCAUUAACUAAAAAGAAAUUUUUAUAAAGAUAAAAAAAGGGAGAGAGAAUAGAUUCCCAUAUAUCCUGGCAUCCAAAUGCAGGAAUAGACCCAGAACAUUUGCAAUGUUAAAUCAAAUAUCUGAUCAAAUUAUGAACAACCCAGAAGCAUUUUCAAACCAAUCAACCCUCCUAAUAAAAGGGAUGACCCAGUGCACCGAGCAUUGAGAAGGGUCAUGUUCGCAGUCUUAUAUUGUCUUAAAGAGAGGUUAUUUUGUA